Molecule: long non-coding RNA, 1193 nt
Filed under: Coturnix japonica (Japanese quail)
Lineage: Eukaryota; Metazoa; Chordata; Aves; Galliformes; Phasianidae
Description: lncRNA (ENSCJPG00005010472.1)
Source: RNAcentral
UGCUUUCUGAGCAAAAUGGCAUUGCCAUGGUGCUAUAAUGAUAGCAUGCUCCUGUAGCAAGCUGGGCUGCUGACCACUGGUUGAGUGCGCUGAGAGCAGUGCAGAGAAAUGUGGUCUUUUGAAGGGCACAAAGCGCCUUGAUUGCACAGCUCUUUUGCUUUUGGCAGUGGUUGGGAUUGCCUUGCAAUUUCUAUAGAAAAAAAAAUUUGCUUUUCAGAGUUUUCAUUCUUUUCAGCAUAGGGUUAGUCUGGUCAAACACCUUGCUGUGAGGUUGAUGCAUGGGUUCAGUGAUCAGAACAGGCCAGCGAUCACUCACCUGAGCUAACAUCCACUUUGUAAGGUCUGAUAAAGGUUUCUAUACAGCUGAGUGAGGGACAUCACCAAAAAUUUGGUGAAAUGAAGAAACAGUUAAUCAGCCAGGUUUGGUCUAAGGCAAGCAGAAGACAGUGCUGCACUGAUUACUGUUCUGAAGUUGAUCUAAAUGGCUCAACCUCAAAGCUAUAAACAGCUUUUGGAAGGAGGUCAAGAUGGGAACUAGCAGACAGUGGUGUAUUUAGGCAUCUUACAGGUAACUUGUGAACCUUCUAUUUAAGUGAACAAGUUUACCGAUACGCAACAAGACAAGAAAGAAGAUAAUAUCUACUGAUGUCUUAUUUGAUUAUUUAUUUACUUUCCAUUAGAGAUGAAGAAGCUAUUGACAUUGAACCAGCAACAAGACACUGCUUUGUGUUGCCAAGGGGGAAGUUCAGUGGUUUGCAUGCUGUAUGAUUGAAUUGAAGAUCACUCCUUACAUAGGUUAGUUGGACCUGGCAUGAGAAUAUCAUAUGGUAACAACAACUCUAAAACAACAUUUUUCUCCAUAUUUAUUCAGUGCAGAUAACGAUUCUUUCCAGGCCCACACCUGAAAGCACAGUCUAGUCUGCUUUGCUCUGACUUGUAGAUUUUAAUUCUGAGUGUUAGUUUCACUUUGGAUGUCUCAUUAGCAGGGUGAUAUUUUCCUAUUAGAUGAAAAUGUUCAACACAGAUUUCCUUGUCGCCACGUUACUGUCAUCUUGUCUUUUGUCAUCACGGCUGAUGGCUCAACGUGCUCUGAUCCACUAUCCUUUUUUUUGGUGAUGCAAUUAUUAUUGUGUGCUCACUCUCUCUCUCUUCUUCGGCUGUGAUAAAAAGAAUAAAUAAAAAUGAAGUAUACA